This is a small nuclear RNA of Dermacentor albipictus, 192 nucleotides long. RefSeq annotates it as U2 spliceosomal RNA. Lineage: Eukaryota; Metazoa; Arthropoda; Arachnida; Ixodida; Ixodidae. The record is from RefSeq and is a predicted model, not a curated record.
AACGCUGACAUGGCCGAUGCGGGUCAAGAUGUUGUAGUGUCUGCUCUUAUCAGCUUAAUAUCUGAUACGGGUUGUAUUCGGAUCUAAAAUAUUAAACCUAUUUUUGGAAGUUGGCGGAAUGCUUAAAGCCUGCUUCACCUCCGCCGCGGGUCGGCCCGGUAUUGCACUAUCUUCGGCAUCGGCCCACGUACG